CUUCCAGUAGCACCUUAAAGACCAACUCAAUUUGUUAUUGGUAUGAGCUUUUGUGUGGUAUUUGAAGAAGUGUGCAUGCACACGAAAGCUCAUACCAAUAACAAAUUUAAUUGGUCUCUAAGGUGCUACUGGAAG
This 135-nucleotide microRNA precursor is filed under the name Podarcis lilfordi (Lilford's wall lizard). Lineage: Eukaryota; Metazoa; Chordata; Lepidosauria; Squamata; Lacertidae. The record is from RNAcentral.